GAUGAAGAACGCAGCGAAAUGCGAUACGUAACGUGAAUUGCAGAAUUCAGUGAAUCAUCGAGUCUUUGAACGCACAUUGCGCCCCCUGGUAUUCCGGGGGGCAUGCCUGUCCGAGCGUCAUUGCUGCCCUCAAGCACGGCUUGUGUGUUGGGCCUCCGCCCCCCGGCUCCCGGGGGGCGGGCCCGAAAGGCAGCGGCGGCACCGCGUCCGGUCCUCGAGCGUAUGGGGCUUCGUCACCCGCUCCGUAGGCCCGGCCGGCGCCCGCCGGCGACCCCCCUCAAUCUUUCCAGGUUGACCUCGGAUCAGGUAGGGAUACCCGCUGAACUUAAGCAUAUCAAUAAGCGGAGGA
This 349-nucleotide unclassified non-coding RNA is filed under the name soil metagenome. RNAcentral describes it as "partial contains 5.8S ribosomal RNA, internal transcribed spacer 2, and large subunit ribosomal RNA". The stretch from base 1 to 120 matches the Rfam family "5.8S ribosomal RNA", at positions 35 to 154 of the family's 154-position model. The record is from RNAcentral.